GAUGAACGCUGGCGGCGUGCCUAAUACAUGCAAGUCGAGCGAACGGACGAGAAGCUUGCUUCUCUGAUGUUAGCGGCGGACGGGUGAGUAACACGUGGAUAACCUACCUAUAAGACUGGGAUAACUUCGGGAAACCGGAGCUAAUACCGGAUGAUAUUUUGAACCGCAUGGUUCAAAAGUGAAAAACGGUCUUGCUGUCACUUAUAGAUGGAUCCGCGCUGCAUUAGCUAGUUGGUAAGUUAACGGCAUACCAAGGCAACGAUGCAUAGCCGACCUGAGAGGGUGACAGACAACACUGGAAGUGAUACACGCUACAGACACCGACGCCAGGCAGCAGAAAGGAAUCAUCGGCAAUGGGCGAAAGAGUGACAAAGCAACGCGGCGUAAGUGAUGAAGAUCUUCGGAUCGUAAAACUCUCUUAUUAGGGAAGAACAUAUGUGUAAGUAACUGUGCACAUCUUGACGGUACCUACUCAGAAAGCCACGGCUAACUAAGGG
RNAcentral lists this ribosomal RNA (497 nucleotides) under uncultured bacterium. Its description in RNAcentral is "partial 16S ribosomal RNA". It matches the Rfam family "Bacterial small subunit ribosomal RNA", at positions 28 to 507 of the family's 1533-position model. The record is from RNAcentral.